This 1154-nucleotide ribosomal RNA is filed under the name Enterococcus hirae. RNAcentral's name for it is "partial 16S ribosomal RNA". It matches the Rfam family "Bacterial small subunit ribosomal RNA", at positions 88 to 1229 of the family's 1533-position model. Lineage: Bacteria; Bacillati; Bacillota; Bacilli; Lactobacillales; Enterococcaceae. The record is from RNAcentral.
AAGAGGAGUGGCGAACGGGUGAGUAACACGUGGGUAACCUGCCCAUCAGAAGGGGAUAACACUUGGAAACAGGUGCUAAUACCGUAUAACAAUCGAAACCGCAUGGUUUUGAUUUGAAAGGCGCUUUCGGGUGUCGCUGAUGGAUGGACCCGCGGUGCAUUAGCUAGUUGGUGAGGUAACGGCUCACCAAGGCGACGAUGCAUAGCCGACCUGAGAGGGUGAUCGGCCACAUUGGGACUGAGACACGGCCCAAACUCCUACGGGAGGCAGCAGUAGGGAAUCUUCGGCAAUGGACGAAAGUCUGACCGAGCAACGCCGCGUGAGUGAAGAAGGUUUUCGGAUCGUAAAACUCUGUUGUUAGAGAAGAACAAGGAUGAGAGUAACUGUUCAUCCCUUGACGGUAUCUAACCAGAAAGCCACGGCUAACUACGUGCCAGCAGCCGCGGUAAUACGUAGGUGGCAAGCGUUGUCCGGAUUUAUUGGGCGUAAAGCGAGCGCAGGCGGUUUCUUAAGUCUGAUGUGAAAGCCCCCGGCUCAACCGGGGAGGGUCAUUGGAAACUGGGAGACUUGAGUGCAGAAGAGGAGAGUGGAAUUCCAUGUGUAGCGGUGAAAUGCGUAGAUAUAUGGAGGAACACCAGUGGCGAAGGCGGCUCUCUGGUCUGUAACUGACGCUGAGGCUCGAAAGCGUGGGGAGCAAACAGGAUUAGAUACCCUGGUAGUCCACGCCGUAAACGAUGAGUGCUAAGUGUUGGAGGGUUUCCGCCCUUCAGUGCUGCAGCUAACGCAUUAAGCACUCCGCCUGGGGAGUACGACCGCAAGGUUGAAACUCAAAGGAAUUGACGGGGGCCCGCACAAGCGGUGGAGCAUGUGGUUUAAUUCGAAGCAACGCGAAGAACCUUACCAGGUCUUGACAUCCUUUGACCACUCUAGAGAUAGAGCUUCCCCUUCGGGGGCAAAGUGACAGGUGGUGCAUGGUUGUCGUCAGCUCGUGUCGUGAGAUGUUGGGUUAAGUCCCGCAACGAGCGCAACCCUUAUUGUUAGUUGCCAUCAUUUAGUUGGGCACUCUAGCAAGACUGCCGGUGACAAACCGGAGGAAGGUGGGGAUGACGUCAAAUCAUCAUGCCCCUUAUGACCUGGGCUACACACGUGCUACA